UGGAUCAUGCAAGCGGGAAAAUGUAUGAUGACACACCUGCAUAUCAAUGUCUGUAGAGAUUUUUUCUGCAGUUCGUCAUGAUCACUUGUAUCUGUAAUGCAGACUUGUUGUCAAUAAACUGGUGAUGUGAGUGCAGACUAAGCCUCUUUUUUUUAUUAUUAUUUAUUUAUAAUGAAUUUGCACCAAAUUGUCAGCCAGAAAACUAUGCCUGGGUACAAAUCUCUUUUACAUGGUUGAAUACAGGAAUUCUGCAAGUUUAAAUCAUAAUAAGAUAUUAUUUUCGUUUUAUUUCAAGAUUACUUACCUCUUCAUCUUCUCCCAGUCCAUCUGAAUAUAAACAAAAAGUGAAAAGGAAAAAGAAUAAUAGCUAUGGUUUGUUUAAAUGUUCAUCUAUAUCUCCAUUC
Molecule: long non-coding RNA, 404 nt
Filed under: Phoenix dactylifera (date palm)
Lineage: Eukaryota; Viridiplantae; Streptophyta; Magnoliopsida; Arecales; Arecaceae
Description: long non-coding RNA (PDAC_LNC001475)
Source: RNAcentral